AGUCCGAGUGCUGGAAUUGGUAGACAGGGUAAACUUAAAUUUUACUGAUUAAAAUCAUGAACGUUCGAUUCGUUUUUCGGAU
Molecule: transfer RNA, 82 nt
Filed under: Phlyctis boliviensis
Lineage: Eukaryota; Fungi; Ascomycota; Lecanoromycetes; Phlyctidaceae
Description: tRNA-Leu
Source: RNAcentral